Molecule: ribosomal RNA, 429 nt
Filed under: Fusobacteriota bacterium
Lineage: Bacteria; Fusobacteriati; Fusobacteriota
Description: Fusobacteria bacterium partial 16S ribosomal RNA
Rfam family: Bacterial small subunit ribosomal RNA
Source: RNAcentral
UGGGGAAUAUUGCGCAAUGGGCGAAAGCCUGACGCAGCGACGCCGCGUGAGGGAUGAAGGUUUUCGGAUCGUAAACCUCUGUCAGAAGGGAAGAAACCGCACUGUGCUAAUCAGCAGUGCCUUGACGGUACCUUCAAAGGAAGCACCGGCUAACUCCGUGCCAGCAGCCGCGGUAAUACGGAGGGUGCAAGCGUUAAUCGGAAUUACUGGGCGUAAAGCGCACGUAGGCUGCUUUGUAAGUCAGGGGUGAAAUCCCACGGCUCAACCGUGGAACUGCCUUUGAUACUGCUUAGCUUGAAUCCGGGAGAGGGUGGCGGAAUUCCAGGUGUAGGAGUGAAAUCCGUAGAUAUCUGGAGGAACAUCAGUGGCGAAGGCCGCCACCUGGACCGGUAUUGACGCUGAGGUGCGAAAGCGUGGGGAGCAAACAGG